RNAcentral lists this ribosomal RNA (253 nucleotides) under uncultured bacterium. RNAcentral describes it as "partial 16S ribosomal RNA". It matches the Rfam family "Bacterial small subunit ribosomal RNA", at positions 524 to 776 of the family's 1533-position model. The record is from RNAcentral.
UACGUAGGGUGCGAGCGUUAAUCGGAAUUACUGGGCGUAAAGCGUGCGCAGGCGGUUCGCCAAGUCAGGUGUGAAAUCCCCGGGCUUAACCUGGGAAUUGCGCUUGAAACUAGCGGGCUUGAGUGUGGCAGAGGGGGGUGGAAUUCCACGUGUAGCAGUGAAAUGCGUAGAGAUGUGGAGGAACACCGAUGGCGAAGGCAGCCCCCUGGGUCGACACUGACGCUCAUGCACGAAAGCGUGGGGAGCAAACAGG